UACAGAGGGUGCAAGCGUUAAUCGGAAUUACUGGGCGUAAAGCGUGCGCAGGCGGUUUUGUAAGUCUGUCGUGAAAGCCCCGGGCUUAACCUGGGAAUUGCGAUGGAGACUGCAAGGCUUGAAUCUGGCAGAGGGGGGUAGAAUUCCACGUGUAGCAGUGAAAUGCGUAGAGAUGUGGAGGAACACCGAUGGCGAAGGCGGCAUCCUGGACCGGCAUUGACGCUGAGUGAGCGAAAGCCAGGGGAGCAAACGGG
This 254-nucleotide ribosomal RNA is filed under the name uncultured bacterium. RNAcentral describes it as "partial 16S ribosomal RNA". It matches the Rfam family "Bacterial small subunit ribosomal RNA", at positions 524 to 776 of the family's 1533-position model. The record is from RNAcentral.